GAAACGACUGCUAAGACUGGAUAGGAGACAAGAGGGCAUCUUCUUGUUUUUAAAGACCUAGCAAUAGGUAUGCUUAGGGAGGAGCUUGCGUCACAUUAGUUAGUUGGUGGGGUAAAGGCCUACCAAGACUAUGAUGUGUAGCCGGGCUGAGAGGUUGAACGGCCACAUUGGGACUGAGACACGGCCCAAACUCCUACGGGAGGCAGCAGUAGGGAAUUUUCGGCAAUGGAGGAAACUCUGACCGAGCAACGCCGCGUGAACGAUGAAGUAUUUCGGUACGUAAAGUUCUUUUAUUAGGGAAGAAUAAAUGAUGGAAAAAUCAUUCUGACGGUACCUAAUGAAUAAGCCCCGGCUAACUAUGUGCCAGCAGCCGCGGUAAUACAUAGGGGGCAAGCGUUAUCCGGAAUUAUUGGGCGUAAAGGGUGCGUAGGCGGUUAAAUAAGUUUAUGGUCUAAGUGCAAUGCUCAACAUUGUGAUGCUAUAAAAACUGUUUAGCUAGAGUAAGAUAGAGGCAAGUGGAAUUCCAUGUGUAGUGGUAAAAUGCGUAAAUAUAUGGAGGAACACCAGUAGCGAAGGCGGCUUGCUGGGUCUUUACUGACGCUGAGGCACGAAAGCGUGGGGAGCAAACAGGAUUAGAUACCCUGGUAGUCCACGCCGUAAACGAUGAGUACUAAACGUUGGGUAAAACCAGUGUUGAAGUUAACACAUUAAGUACUCCGCCUGAGUAGUACGUACGCAAGUAUGAAACUUAAAGGAAUUGACGGGACUCCGCACAAGCGGUGGAUCAUGUUGUUUAAUUCGAAGGUACCCGAAAAACCUCACCAGGUCUUGACAUGCUUCUGCAAAGCUGUAGAAACACAGUGGAGGUUAUCAGUUGCACAGGUGGUGCAUGGUUGUCGUCAGCUCGUGUCGUGAGAUGUUGGGUUAAGUCCCGCAACGAGCGCAACCCUUAUUGUUAGUUACCAGCACGUAAUGGUGGGGACUUUAGCAAGACUGCCAGUGAUAAAUUGGAGGAAGGUGGGGACGACGUCAAAUCAUCAUGCCCCUUAUGACCUGGGCUACAAACGUGAUACAAUGGCUGUUACAAAGGGUAGCUGAAGCGCAAGUUUUUGGCGAAUCUCAAAAAAACAGUCUCAGUUCGGAUUGAAGUCUGCAACUCGACUUCAUGAAGUUGGAAUCGCUAGUAAUCGCGAAUCAGCAUGUCGCGGUGAAUACGUUCUCGGGGUUUGUACACACCGCCCGUCA
Molecule: ribosomal RNA, 1245 nt
Filed under: Potato purple top phytoplasma
Lineage: Bacteria; Bacillati; Mycoplasmatota; Mollicutes; Acholeplasmatales; Acholeplasmataceae
Also listed under: 1 other name
Description: partial 16S ribosomal RNA
Rfam family: Bacterial small subunit ribosomal RNA
Source: RNAcentral